CAUACCUAUUCGAAGGGAUAGGGUCGGUUUGGCCGGAUUUCACACAGGUGUUGCAUGGCUGUCGUCAGCUCGUGUCGUGAGAUGUUGGGUUAAGUCCCGCAACGAGCGCAACCCUCAUCCUUAGUUACCAUCAGGUUAUGCUGGGGACUUUAAGGAAACUGCCAGUGAUAAACUGGAGGAAGGUGGGGAUGAUGUCAAGUCAUCAUGGCCCUUAUGGAGUGGGCUACACACGUGCUACAAUGGUGAUUACAAUGAGCUGCAAGGUCGCAAGGCUGAGCUAAUCCUAAAAAAUCAUCUCAGUUCGGAUUGUUCUCUGCAACUCGAGAGCAUGAAGUUGGAAUCGCUAGUAAUCGUGGAUCAGCAUGCCACGGUGAAUACGUUCUCGGGUCUUGUACACACUGCCCGUCACGCCAUGGGAAUUGGUUUCACUCGAAGCU
This 437-nucleotide ribosomal RNA is filed under the name Wolbachia endosymbiont of Aphis gossypii. RNAcentral describes it as "bacterial SSU rRNA". It matches the Rfam family "Bacterial small subunit ribosomal RNA", at positions 992 to 1428 of the family's 1533-position model. Lineage: Bacteria; Pseudomonadati; Pseudomonadota; Alphaproteobacteria; Rickettsiales; Anaplasmataceae. The record is from RNAcentral.